RNAcentral lists this ribosomal RNA (776 nucleotides) under uncultured Neocallimastigales. Its description in RNAcentral is "partial large subunit ribosomal RNA". It matches the Rfam family "Eukaryotic large subunit ribosomal RNA", at positions 24 to 616 of the family's 3401-position model. Lineage: Eukaryota; Fungi; Neocallimastigomycota; Neocallimastigomycetes; Neocallimastigales. The record is from RNAcentral.
GUAGUCUCGCACAGAUGCAUAUCAAUAAGCGGAGGAAAAGAAACUAACAAGGAUUCCCUUAGUAACGGCGAGUGAAGCGGGAAGAGCUCAAAUUUGAAAUCUUCAAGGUUUUACCUUGACGAAUUGUAGUUUAAAGAAGUGUUUUCUGUUGAAGUUUUGGUAAAAGUUCUUUGGAAUAGGACAUCAUAGAGGGUGAGAAUCCCGUAUUUGACCAUUAUUUUCAGCUGUGUGAUAACACUUUCAAAGAGUCGGAUUGUUUGGGAAUGCAGUCCAAAAUGGGUGGUAAAUUUCAUCUAAAGCUAAAUAUUGGCGAGAGACCGAUAGCGAACAAGUACCGUGAGGGAAAGAUGAAAAGAAUCUUUGAAAAGAGAGUUAAACAGUACGUGAAAUUGUCAAAAGGGAAGCGUUUGACACCAGUGUUGUUUUCUCGAAAAUCAAUUAAAAAGAGUUAGAUUUUGUUGUGUAUUGACCUUAACAGCUUGCAUUUCAAUUUUCUUGCUUUUUUUAAUGCACUUUUCGUUUAACAAGUCAACAUCAGUUUCUUUUGUUGUAAAAAGGUCAUUGGAAGGUGGCUUUCUUUUCGGAGAAAGUGUUUAUAGCCUUUGACUCCUGCAAUCGGAGAGACUGAGGUCUGCAGCGUAGAUCCUUCGGGGUUAGAUACAUUUGUGCUAAGUUAUAGCUUUUUAUAGACAACUUGUUGACUAUGAUUAGUCUUGUAGCUUACUCGCUUAUGCUAUUUUACCUACGCUUAGGAUGUUGAGCGCAUGUCUCUCUCU